This 489-nucleotide ribosomal RNA is filed under the name uncultured bacterium. RNAcentral's name for it is "partial 16S ribosomal RNA". It matches the Rfam family "Bacterial small subunit ribosomal RNA", at positions 28 to 507 of the family's 1533-position model. The record is from RNAcentral.
GACGAACGCUGGCGGCGUGCUUAACACAUGCAAGUCGAACGGUGAAGGGACCAGCUUGCUGGUUCUGGAUGAGUGGCGAACGGGUGAGUAACACGUGAGUAACCUGCCCCCUUCUUCUGGAUAACCGCAUGAAAGUGUGGCUAAUACGGGAUAUUCUGGGUCUGUCGCAUGGCGGGCCCGGGAAAGAUAUUGCUUCGGUGGGGGAUGGGCUCGCGGCCUAUCAGCUUGUUGGUGGGGUGAUGGCCUACCAAGGCGGUGACGGGUAGCCGGCCUGAGAGGGUGGACGGUCACACUGGGACUGAGACACGGCCCAGACUCCUACGGGAGGCAGCAGUGGGGAAUAUUGCACAAUGGGCGCAAGCCUGAUGCAGCGACGCCGCGUGAGGGAUGGAGGCCUUCGGGUUGUAAACCUCUUUCGACAGUGAAGCAGGCCUGCUCCUUGUGGGUGGGUUGACGGUAGCUGGAUAAGAAGCGCCGGCUAACUACGUG